This 257-nucleotide long non-coding RNA is filed under the name Pan troglodytes (chimpanzee). RNAcentral's name for it is "long non-coding RNA NONPTRT011579". Lineage: Eukaryota; Metazoa; Chordata; Mammalia; Primates; Hominidae. The record is from RNAcentral.
GGAAGCGCUAGAAGGUUUAGAUUUUGAAACAGCAAAGAAGGCCUUCAUCAGAGUACAAGACCUCCGAUAUUUAGAGCUCAUCAGCAGCAUUGAGGAGAGGAAGAAGCGGGGAGAGACCAACAAUGACCUGUUUCUGGCAGAUGUGUUUUCCUACCAGGGGAAGUUCCAUGAGGCCGCCAAACUGUACAAGAGGAGUGGGCACGAGAACCUCGCGCUUGAAAUGUACACCGACCUCUGCAUGUUUGAGUAUGCCAAGG